This 216-nucleotide ribosomal RNA is filed under the name uncultured bacterium. RNAcentral's name for it is "partial 16S ribosomal RNA". It matches the Rfam family "Bacterial small subunit ribosomal RNA", at positions 1288 to 1500 of the family's 1533-position model. The record is from RNAcentral.
UCAGUUCGGAUUGAAGUACUGAAAUUCGACUUCAUGAAGCUGGAAUUGCUAGUAAUGGCAGGUCAGCAUACUGCCGUGAAUACGUUCCCGGGGCCCUUGUACACACCGCCCGUCACACCAUGAGAGUUGGGAAUACCCGAAGCCUGUGAGCUAACUGUAAAGAGGCAGCAGUCGAAGGUAGAAUCAAUGAUUGGGGUGAAGUCGUAACAAGGUAGC